RNAcentral lists this ribosomal RNA (480 nucleotides) under Pseudomonadales bacterium HD-O-03-2. RNAcentral describes it as "bacterial SSU rRNA". It matches the Rfam family "Bacterial small subunit ribosomal RNA", at positions 79 to 554 of the family's 1533-position model. Lineage: Bacteria; Pseudomonadati; Pseudomonadota; Gammaproteobacteria; Pseudomonadales. The record is from RNAcentral.
CUUGCUUCUCUUNAGAGCGGCGGACGGGUGAGUAAUGCCUAGGAAUCUGCCUAGUGGUGGGGGAUAACGUUCGGAAACGGACGCUAAUACCGCAUACGUCCUACGGGAGAAAGCGGGGGACCUUCGGGCCUCGCGCCAUUAGAUGAGCCUAGGUCGGAUUAGCUAGUUGGUGAGGUAAUGGCUCACCAAGGCUACGAUCCGUAACUGGUCUGAGAGGAUGAUCAGUCACACUGGAACUGAGACACGGUCCAGACUCCUACGGGAGGCAGCAGUGGGGAAUAUUGGACAAUGGGCGAAAGCCUGAUCCAGCCAUGCCGCGUGUGUGAAGAAGGUCUUCGGAUUGUAAAGCACUUUAAGUUGGGAGGAAGGGUAGUAACUUAAUACGUUGCUACUUUGACGUUACCGACAGAAUAAGCACCGGCUAACUUCGUGCCAGCAGCCGCGGUAAUACGAAGGGUGCAAGCGUUAAUCGGGAAUUAC